This 253-nucleotide ribosomal RNA is filed under the name uncultured bacterium. RNAcentral's name for it is "partial 16S ribosomal RNA". It matches the Rfam family "Bacterial small subunit ribosomal RNA", at positions 524 to 776 of the family's 1533-position model. The record is from RNAcentral.
UACGAAGGGGGCUAGCGUUGCUCGGAAUCACUGGGCGUAAAGGGCGCGUAGGCGGACAGUUUAGUCAGAGGUGAAAGCCCAGGGCUCAACCUUGGAAUUGCCUUUGAUACUGGCUGUCUUGAGUUCGGGAGAGGUGAGUGGAAUGCCGAGUGUAGAGGUGAAAUUCGUAGAUAUUCGGCGGAACACCAGUGGCGAAGGCGACUCACUGGCCCGAUACUGACGCUGAGGCGCGAAAGCGUGGGGAGCAAACAGG